CUGGCUCAGAUGAACGCUGGCGGCGUGCUUAACACAUGCAAGUCGAACGCGAAAGGGACUUCGGUCCUGAGUAAAGUGGCGCACGGGUGAGUAACGCGUGGAUAAUCUGCCCUUAUGAUCGGGAUAACAGUUGGAAACGGCUGCUAAUACCGGAUACGCUCAAAAUGAACUUUUUGAGGAAAGAUGGCCUCUGCUUGCAUGCUAUCACGUAAGGAUGAGUCCGCGUCCCAUUAGCUUGUUGGCGGGGUAACGGCCCACCAAGGCAACGAUGGGUAGCCGAUUUGAGAGGAUGAUCGGCCACACUGGAACUGAAACACGGUCCAGACUCCUACGGGAGGCAGCAGUGGGGAAUAUUGCGCAAUGGGCGAAAGCCUGACGCAGCGACGCCGCGUGAGGGAUGAAGGUUUUCGGAUCGUAAACCUCUGUCAGAAGGGAAGAAACUACGUUGUGCUAAUCAGCAGCGUACUGACGGUACCUUCAAAGGAAGCACCGGCUAACUCCGUGCCAGCAGCGGC
RNAcentral lists this ribosomal RNA (515 nucleotides) under uncultured bacterium. RNAcentral's name for it is "bacterial SSU rRNA". It matches the Rfam family "Bacterial small subunit ribosomal RNA", at positions 19 to 518 of the family's 1533-position model. The record is from RNAcentral.